Molecule: transfer RNA, 73 nt
Filed under: Gammaproteobacteria bacterium
Lineage: Bacteria; Pseudomonadati; Pseudomonadota; Gammaproteobacteria
Description: tRNA-Thr
Rfam family: tRNA
About the family: Transfer RNA (tRNA) molecules are approximately 80 nucleotides in length. Their secondary structure includes four short double-helical elements and three loops (D, anti-codon, and T loops).
Source: RNAcentral
UGCGAAUUAGCUCAGUUGGUAGAGCGCAUCCUUCGUAGGGAUGAGGUCGUUGGUUCAAGUCCAACCCUUGCAA